GAGGGUAUAGCUCAGUGGCAGAGCACAUGCUUAGCAUGCAGGAGAUCCUGGGUUCAAUCCCCAGUACAUCCU
This 72-nucleotide transfer RNA is filed under the name Camelus bactrianus (Bactrian camel). It matches the Rfam family "tRNA". Rfam says of the family: Transfer RNA (tRNA) molecules are approximately 80 nucleotides in length. Their secondary structure includes four short double-helical elements and three loops (D, anti-codon, and T loops). RNAcentral also lists the same sequence under 2 other names. Lineage: Eukaryota; Metazoa; Chordata; Mammalia; Artiodactyla; Camelidae. The record is from Rfam by way of RNAcentral.